GAUGAACGCUAGCGGCAGGCUUAAUACAUGCAAGUCGAGGGGUAACAGGGGUAGCAAUACCUGCUGACGACCGGCAAACGGGUGCGGAACACGUACGCAACCUUCCCAUAACAGGUGAAUAGCCUUCCGAAAGGGAGAUUAAUACACCGUAACAUAACGAUGAGGCAUCUCAUUGUUAUUAUAGGCUUCGGCCGGUUUUGGAUGGGCGUGCGCCUGAUUAGGUAGUUGGCGGGGUAACGGCCCACCAAGCCUGCGAUCAGUAACUGGUGUGAGAGCACGACCAGUCACACGGGCACUGAGACACGGGCCCGACUCCUACGGGAGGCAGCAGUAAGGAAUAUUGGUCAAUGGACGAAAGUCUGAACCAGCCAUGCCGCGUGAAGGA
Molecule: ribosomal RNA, 385 nt
Filed under: uncultured bacterium
Lineage: Bacteria
Description: bacterial SSU rRNA
Rfam family: Bacterial small subunit ribosomal RNA
Source: RNAcentral